GAAUAUUGCGCAAUGGGCGAAAGCCUGACGCAGCAACGCCGCGUGUGUGAUGAAGGCUCUCGGGUCGUAAAGCACUGUCAGAAGGGAAGAAACAAAUGACGGUACCUUCAAAGGAAGCACCGGCUAACUCCGUGCCAGCAGCCGCGGUAAUACGGAGGGUGCAAGCGUUGUUCGGAAUCAUUGGGCGUAAAGCGCGCGCAGGCGGCUUGCCAAGUCUGAUGUGAAAUCCCGGGGCUCAACCUCGGAACUGCAUUGGAAACUGGUAGGCUUGAGUAUGUGAGGGGUUAGUGGAAUUCCUGGUGUAGGGGUGAAAUCCGUAGAGAUCAGGAGGAACACCGGUGGCGAAGGCGGCCCACCGGUCCGGUACUGACGCUGAGGUGCGAAAGCGUGGGGAGCAAACAGG
This 403-nucleotide ribosomal RNA is filed under the name uncultured bacterium. RNAcentral describes it as "bacterial SSU rRNA". It matches the Rfam family "Bacterial small subunit ribosomal RNA", at positions 359 to 776 of the family's 1533-position model. The record is from RNAcentral.